Nycticebus coucang (slow loris) is the source of this 127-nucleotide small nuclear RNA. Lineage: Eukaryota; Metazoa; Chordata; Mammalia; Primates; Lorisidae. The record is from RefSeq and is a predicted model, not a curated record.
GUGUUGCAUGAAAGGAGAGAAGCUGAGCACUCCCCUUGACAAGGAUGGAAGAGGCCCUCGGACCUGACGACACACAUACGGUUAAGGCAUUGCCACCUACUACUACAGUGUUAUACUUAUGUUUUUU